This 20-nucleotide non-coding RNA is filed under the name Arabidopsis thaliana (thale cress). Lineage: Eukaryota; Viridiplantae; Streptophyta; Magnoliopsida; Brassicales; Brassicaceae. The record is from RNAcentral.
UAAGGGGCAUCACAAUCAUA